UACGUAGGCAGCAAGCGUUGUUCGGAGUUACUGGGCGUAAAGAGCGCGCAGGCGGUCGUUCAAGUCGAGUGUGAAAGCCCCCGGCUCAACUGGGGAGGGUCACUCGAUACUGAUCGACUCGAAGGCAGGAGAGGGAAGCGGAAUUCCCGGUGUAGUGGUGAAAUGCGUAGAUAUCGGGAGGAACACCAGUGGCGAAGGCGGCUUUCUGGCCUGUUCUUGACGCUGAGGCGCGAAAGCUAGGGUAGCAAACGGG
This 253-nucleotide ribosomal RNA is filed under the name uncultured bacterium. RNAcentral's name for it is "partial 16S ribosomal RNA". It matches the Rfam family "Bacterial small subunit ribosomal RNA", at positions 524 to 776 of the family's 1533-position model. The record is from RNAcentral.